UAGUCCACACCGUAAACGAUGAGAGCUAGUUGUCUGCAAGCAUGCUUGUAGGUGACGCAGCUAACGCAUUAAGCUCUCCGCCUGGGGAGUACGGUCGCAAGAUUAAAACUCAAAGGAAUUGACGGGGACCCGCACAAGCGGUGGAGCAUGUGGUUUAAUUCGAGGCAACGCGAAGAACCUUACCAGACCUUGACAUGCCUCUCGCGGAUUUCAGAGAUGAUUUCCUUCAGUUCGGCUGGAGAGUGCACAGGUGCUGCAUGGCUGUCGUCAGCUCGUGUCGUGAGAUGUUGGGUUAAGUCCCGCAACGAGCGCAACCCUCAUUUUUAGUUACCAUCAUUUAGUUGGGUACUCUAGAGAAACUGCCGGGGUCAACCCGGAGGAAGGUGGGGAUGACGUCAAGUCUUCAUGGCCCUUAUGGUCUGGGCUACACACGUGCUACAAUGGCAAAUACAAUGAGCAGCGAUCCCGCGAGGGUCAGCUAAUCUCC
This 487-nucleotide ribosomal RNA is filed under the name uncultured bacterium. Its description in RNAcentral is "bacterial SSU rRNA". It matches the Rfam family "Bacterial small subunit ribosomal RNA", at positions 791 to 1276 of the family's 1533-position model. The record is from RNAcentral.